GUGAAUCAUCGAAUCUUUGAACGCAAAUGGCACUCUCUUCGGUGAGUAUGCCUGUUUGAGGGUCAGUAUUAAUAAAAAUCGGUGUGUUGCUUCUUUGUGAUGCUCCGGAGUGUGGGUCUUCUUAAUAUGCUUUAGGUUAUAAGAGGCUUAAAAUUGACUUAUUUCGCGCAUUUUAGAUGUACAUAAAUUAUUUUUUUUAUUCGUCUGUCUUAAUGCUCUAAUUUCUAUUAGAUGCGUCCAUAUCGU
Molecule: unclassified non-coding RNA, 246 nt
Filed under: Rhizophagus sp. (in: glomeromycetes)
Lineage: Eukaryota; Fungi; Glomeromycota; Glomeromycetes; Glomerales; Glomeraceae
Description: partial contains 5.8S ribosomal RNA and internal transcribed spacer 2
Rfam family: 5.8S ribosomal RNA (bases 1-65)
Source: RNAcentral